UACAGAGACUGCAAGCGUUAUUCGGAUUCACUGGGCGUAAAGGGUGCGCAGGCGGCCAAGUGUGUCAGGUGUGAAAUCCCGAGGCUCAACCUCGGAACUGCGCCUGAAACUACUUGGCUAGAGUACUGGAGAGGGUAACGGAAUUCAUGGUGUAGCAGUGAAAUGCGUAGAUAUCGUGAGGAACACCAGAGGCGAAGGCGGUUACCUGGACAGUUACUGACGCUCAGGCACGAAAGCGUGGGGAGCAAAAGGG
Molecule: ribosomal RNA, 253 nt
Filed under: uncultured bacterium
Lineage: Bacteria
Description: partial 16S ribosomal RNA
Rfam family: Bacterial small subunit ribosomal RNA
Source: RNAcentral